Molecule: long non-coding RNA, 472 nt
Organism: Eptesicus fuscus (big brown bat)
Lineage: Eukaryota; Metazoa; Chordata; Mammalia; Chiroptera; Vespertilionidae
Exons: 4
Source: RefSeq, a predicted model, not a curated record
CUUCUGCAACCCAAAGAUGCACCAGGAUUGGACUAUUGAGCAGGUAGCUGCUUUUCUUUUCUGCUUAGGACAACAAUUACUAAGAAUGGAAGGACACCUGAUGUAUUUACUGUACACAAUUUCCAGGUUUAUCCAUACAAUAAACUCUGAAAUGAGCAGAGCAAGAAUUACUAUGGAAGAAAAGGAGAGGCUGAGAAGUGUCUAACGUCUGAUAACCAGUGAGAGAGCCAGGCAAAAGGUCAAUACCUUUUGUAUUGCAUUGGACUAUCUUUCUACUGUGAUGCUUGGCAAAAGGAGAUGGUAAAAGACAGGGAAGUUUGAUGGAAGGAUGGAGCGUGCGAGUGAGCAAAGACUGGAACAAUAUGCAUGUCCUCAGUUCCUCCCAUCCACAGAGAGCAUUCGAGAUGCCCCAUUAGCCCAGCAUGUCAAAGGGUCCAUGAUUGCCUGGGAGUUCAGCAACACUCAAAGGUAG